AUGAGUAAUACGCUGCUCCGAAUCUACCCUUCCGAGCUCAAGAUGCCAUUUGAGCUCAGGAAGUCGAAUACAGGAUGCAUCGAGCUCGUCAACAAGACCGAUCAGCGUGUAGCUUUCAAGGUAAAAACAACGAACCCAAAAAAGUACGCAGUGCGGCCUACCUCCGGCAUCGUGCCGCCAGGGGGAUCCUGCGGUAUCACAAUUACGAUGCAGGCACCCAAGGAGAUCCCCCAGGAUUACCAAUGCAAGGACAAGUUCCUCAUUCAAAGCGUCAUAGUGCAGGAAGGGAUAACGCAUAAGGACAUUGUCCCUGAGAUGUUCGGCAGAGCGCCUGGCAGGGUGGUGGAGGAGUUCAAGCUGCGGGUGAUCUACAUCCCUGCAAAUCCCCCCUCACCGGUGCCUGAGGGAGACGAGGAAGAGAUUGCAGAUAUGGAGGUCGACCAUGAAGUGUUUAGACAAUCCAUGAUCGAUGCUGCAUCUAGGCAAGAAUAUGCAUCUGGACCACAAGCUUCACAUGACAAGGACGCCUCUACGGUUAAGUCAGAAGUUGUUAAAUAUGUAGCUGAAAACAAGAAGCUUCAACAAGAGCUGGAACAGCUUAGCGAGAGAAGGCAGUCUCUUGGGGGUUUCUCACGUACGUUUGUGCUCCUCGUCUUCCUGUUAUCUGUUCUUGUUGGAUACUGGAUGACAGGUCGGAAGGUUUAG
Molecule: ribosomal RNA, 705 nt
Filed under: Triticum aestivum (bread wheat)
Lineage: Eukaryota; Viridiplantae; Streptophyta; Magnoliopsida; Poales; Poaceae
Description: partial small subunit ribosomal RNA
Source: RNAcentral